UGGGCAAUCUCGCUUGAAGUGUCUGAUCUCAUUGCACUUGUAGCACCGAACCUCUUUCUUGCUUCUGCUCUUUUAGGACUUUCAUCAUCUCUUUGACUUGCCUCUUUCUUUUCCUCUUCCUGACCUCUCCCCCACAGCCAAGCCCUCCUGGGGAGCUCCAUCUUUGGUCAUCUUUUCCCACUGUUAAUUGGAGAGCAACAUCGAGACCAUGUCUUCAUACUCCAGAGUCUCCUUGCCAUACAACAGCGUCGUCACCAAUGGAUC
This 264-nucleotide long non-coding RNA is filed under the name Elaeis guineensis (African oil palm). RNAcentral describes it as "long non-coding RNA (EGUI_LNC057152)". The record is from RNAcentral. Lineage: Eukaryota; Viridiplantae; Streptophyta; Magnoliopsida; Arecales; Arecaceae.